CUCUCCAGAUCCAAAUCGCCUCAGAUCCAAAUCGCGCAGAUGCUGACGUCCCUGCACAUGGCGGUUUUUAGAUCCAAAUCGCCCCAGAUCCAAAUCGCGCAGAUGCUGACGUCCCUGCACAUGGCGGUUUUCAGAUUGUGUUCCGUUUUCGAGCUUCGAGGGAUCGAAGAUCAAGCGUUGGCGACCAAGUGAUAUAGCUCUUCGAGUUCUAUGAGGCAGAAGAUCCUGAGCAUCUGUUUGGUGAAGGCAAGUGUCCUUUGACCCAUUAUGUCCCUUUCACUUAUAAUACACUGUCCCGCAUUACUUAAUUGAAACCUAAGGAUUGACUAGCUUUGUAUUUACCUUACACUUGAUUACCUAUUGGGUUACUAUGGUUAGCUUUAUGCUAUUGCUUUAACUUAA
Long non-coding RNA from Zea mays, 402 nucleotides. RefSeq lists it as uncharacterized. The transcript is spliced from 3 exons. NCBI's taxonomy places the organism in Eukaryota, Viridiplantae, Streptophyta, Magnoliopsida, Poales, Poaceae. The record is from RefSeq and is a predicted model, not a curated record.